AUUGAACGCUGGCGGCAUGCCUUACACAUGCAAGUCGAACGGCAGCACGGGGGCGAACCCUCGGUGGCGAGUGGCGAACGGGUGAGUAAUACAUCGGAACGUGCCCGGUAGUGGGGAGUAGCUCGGCGAAAGCCGGAUUAAUACCGCAUACGACCUGCGGGUGAAAGCGGGGGAUCGCAAGACCUCGCGCUAUCGGAGCGGCCGAUGUCAGAUUAGGUUGUUGGUGGGGUAAAGGCCACCAAGCCGACGAUCUGUAGCUGGUCUGAGAGGACGACCAGCCACACUGGGACUGAGACACGGCCCAGACUCCUACGGGAGGGCAGCAGUGGGGAAUUUUGGACAAUGGGCGCAAGCCUGAUCCAGCCAUGCCGCGUGCGGGAAGAA
RNAcentral lists this ribosomal RNA (384 nucleotides) under uncultured bacterium. RNAcentral describes it as "bacterial SSU rRNA". It matches the Rfam family "Bacterial small subunit ribosomal RNA", at positions 29 to 412 of the family's 1533-position model. The record is from RNAcentral.